CCACUAACACGAUUCUGUUUCACCGCCACAUACACAACUACUAAUCUCACUAAGCAUCCACUCUAACGACCUCCUUCGCCUUCCAUCAUCCGUGUUUCCCGCAGACGCGUACGUUCGCUUUUCCUUCUCCCUUCAUGCAGAGAUCAAGCGAGACGCGCACCCACGUCCAGACACGCACACUCGGCCUCUAACCUCUGCCGACCCGCCACACACUCUGUGAAGCGUCUGCGUAGGACUCCCACACUGCCGACAACACAGCCGAGCAGACGAGAGCGCCAAAGAGCGUCCUUCUCUUUACCUCUGAACUGAGUGCAGCUUAGUGUCCACGCAUUCCGGCUUCUCACCCACCGCACCCUUACGCGCCCGUUGCCACAGCGAGCACCUCGACCCACAAGCCAUUGCAUACUCCAUCCGAGAGCGAGUUCCGAAUCGCUCGGCACCGAGGACAUAACGACAGAUCAGACCUGAACUCCGAGUUUGACAUGGAAGUAGCGCAGGGAUACGACGCGAAAUGCGUGCGGGGGGUGGAGGACGCCUCCUCCGCCGAGGCGCCGGACCCAUACGACUUCUCGCGGUACGACCCGAGGCGCCAGAUCGAGUUGCAGGACAAGAUCCGCGCUGAUCGCGUGGCCCGCCGCCUCGUCCCCGCGAAUGUGUUCCAGAAGUACUUCGACUACUUGGUGCCCUACGGCGGCCUGGUUUCCACGGGCCUCAACCUGGCCAGCUCCUCCAUUGGUGCCGGCAUUAUUGCGCUGCCCUACGCCUUCAACGCCUCUGGUCUUGUUAUGGCCAUCAUCUACAUGUUCAUGAUUGCCUACCUCACCAUCUACUCCUACUACCUGCUGGGCCAGGCGGGCACCAAGACUGGUCUGCGCAACUACGAGCAGAUCGUACGCACGCUCCUCGGCCCUGGCGCGGACUACUUCCUCGCCUUCUGCAUGUGGUUUCUCAGUUUUGGCGGGGAGGUGUCGUACGUCAUCUCCGUGAAGGAUGUGCUGACGGCCUUCCUCGAGGACGCGGACAACACGCCGGCGUUCUUGCUGAACAUCUGGGGCCAGCGCCUCCUCACCUUCCUCGUGUGGCUCGUGGCCAUGCUGCCGCUGUGUCUGCCGAAGGAGAUCAACUCGCUGCGCUACUUCUCCUGCGUCGCGAUUGUGUUCAUAGUGUAUUUUGUGAUUGCGAUGGUAGUGCACAGCGCGCAGAACGGCCUGCGCGCGGAUCCGCGCCCGGAGAUCAGGAUGUUCACGACGGGCAACACCGCCGUUUCUGGGAUGUCCACGUUCAUCUUCGCCUUCCUAUCGCAGCUGAACGCGUAUGAAAGUUAUGAAGAAAUGAACAACCCCACGCCGCUGCGCCUCACGCUGGGUGCCACCAUCUCUGUGGGCAUCGUGUUUGUGUUGUACUUCCUCGCCGGCCUCUUUGGCUACCUUGACUUCGGCACCGAGAUGACCGGCUCCGCGCUGAAGAAGUACAAUCCGGUGAAGGACGUCAUGAUGGGCGUCGGAUACGUGGGUAUCCUGUUCAAGCUGUGCGUUGGGUUCGGUCUGCACAUGAUCCCGGUUCGUGAUGCCAUCUACCACUGCGUCCGCGUGGACGUGCACACGUUUGCGUGGUGGAAGAACGCGUGCGUGUGCGCCUUCAUGGCGCUGCUGUCGCUCGUGGCUGGUCUGUUCAUCCCGAGCAUCAACGUCGUCUUCGGCCUCGUUGGCGGCUUCUCUGGCGGCUUCAUCGGCUUUAUCUACCCCUCCUUCAUGGUCAUGUACUCCGGCAACUGGUCGCUGUCGUCGGUUGGGUGGUUCCACUACCUGUCCACGUACUUUUUGCUGAUUGUCGGCGUCGUUGGCGUCGUGUGGGGCACGGCCAGCUCCAUCUAUGGCGAGAUUUAACUUUUUUUUCUUUGUUAAAGGUCAGUAGGCUAACUGAGUGAAACCGUCGACGCUCGGUGGUAAAGAAGAUGUGGAGAGAGGUGCGUCGUGUCUUCUCAUCGAUUGCCGGCCGGGAGGGUCGUUUUGAAUGUCUCUCUCUCCCUUCUUUGUUGUUCCUUGCCAUGAGUUUAUCCUCAGCUAGCGUGGCUGUGCUCGUCGUUCGUGUUUGUUUUCUUUCUUUUCAUUGUUUUCCUUCUCUGAACUCUCUCGGUGCUGCAGGGAGAGCCUGGUGUACCUGUCGCACAGCCGAAUGGAUGUGUGCGUGGGUGCUCGCCUGCUGGUCAGCUGUGAGACCGAGGUAUGACUGCUGCCUGCGCCCGUUUAUGUUCGGUGGUGUUUCUUCGUCUUCUGGUUCGUGUUUUCGUUUCGUUUUGUGCGGAAGGAGUUCGUCGUUUUUUUUUUCCGUCGCUGUAGCGCCCGGGCCUCCUUUCAUCGGGAAGAAGGGGGACGCAACGGAUGAAAAGGCGAGGCGCGUGACACUGAAAAAUGCCCGUGUGUCUAGCACUGUACUUGUCUGUCGACAUCAACGAGUGACGGCGGCUAUCAUCGUGGUGCUGCAGACCGUAUUGCUUUUGUAAUUUGAGUGGCCGUGUCUGCGCUGUCACUGCCGAUCGGGCAUGUCGCCAUCGGACGCUGCUUACCUCCCUCCUCAUCUCUCAUUUCACUUUUUUAAUAUUUUUUCCCCGUGUAUUUUGUUUCCGUUUUUUUUUUCGCCCCACAGGCUCUGCGGGCGGCCUCUCUGUUACGUUCUACUUCGGGCCUCUUCCGCACGUCUUCACCUUCUUUGUUUUUUUGUGUUUCUCCUUCCUGGGAUCAUGUCUCGACGGCCUCCUCGUCUGAGCGCGGUUGUGGGAUGUGUGUACGCGUUGUCCACGAGGGUGCUUCGGCCAACAUGUUCGACGGGGAUGUCGACAUGCAUCGGCACAGCUCUGCUCAACAUAGCCGCAUACGGAGUGGGUGAAUGCGUAGAAGGCUUGUCUUCCUCCCCCACCAGACCUCAGUCGUGAGGAAAUCGACCGCUAUCGGGACGCCGCUGUUAACGACGGCCGUACAGGGUCGGCUUGUGCACGCUUCAGUGCAUGCUUAUGGAUGCGCGCGUGCACGCAACGUCUCUCCGCACGUGUCCCAAGUCGCCGAUGUGCGUCCCUGCAUUCAGGCGCGCACAGUCCAGCGUUUUACGAUGAAGCGGCGAACUUCUGGAGGAGCAUCCGUGGGCUAUGCGGCACGCACCUUUCCUCAGACGCGCGAAGCGAUUCGAGACACACCUCCAUUGGACGCACUCCUAAGAGUGCGUCUGUGUUGUGGAUGGCGAGGUAGACGCAAGCGAAGGCAGCAGCUGCGGAAGUCUUGUUGUUUACUCCUAAUCCGCGCUUUCUGCUGUUGCUGCGUCCCACUCAGUCCCCAUCGACGGUAUCCGUGAGCAUGUGCGCGACGGAUUUGUUGGGCGUCACCUCUGACACAGCCCACCUGCGCGUACAUACUGCUGUUUUUUUCUUCUCUGAAAUGCCGCCUAAAAAAGGAGCGAAACCACAAGAUCAACGUGAGUGUCUCCCGCAUCCAAGCGUACGGCGGUCUGCUGGCCAGAAGGGCAGCACGCUCAUUGGUGCCUCUCUCUUCUUUUUGUUUCUCUGUGCUUCGCUGCCUUUCCCCCUCCACAGCCCACGCUGAGCGCACGGCACGAGUGAAUGGUGUGUGCGUGUGGGCAGGGGAAGGAGUGGAGGCGAGAGAAAGGCAACACCACGCCAUGAAGUACCACCAAAAAAAAGAGCGAAAAGCGCAAACAAAAAAAAAAGAAAGCAUGUAAUCUCCCCGGUCUGCCUCCCCUCCCUCUCCUCCUUUUCUUCUCUUUUUUUCUUCCUUCUUCCGCUGUUUUUUUUUUCUGUCGUCGUAAAUGUUUUCCCUCCUCUCUCCGCUCGGUGACCCACAGACCGGCAAGCACCGCGCAGUUGAUAACAGCUGUUUCGGUUUUGCUCGUCCUCUGUCUCGCUGCCUUCUUCCUUUUCUCGCGCUCUUUUUUUUCUGAUUUUCGUUUUGAUUUUGAUGGUUGUUGUCUUUUGCCUUUUCUCCGCCCUGACGAUGCCGACCACUUCACGGCGGUACCAGGGUCCGCUACCCCACUCUGCGGGGAAGUCAAGAGCCUGUACGGCCUCACAGGCUCUUGGUGUCGGCGGACAGGACUGGGCUGGCGCUGCGCGGAAGAGACUCGCAGACACGACCACGUGAGUGCCAUCCCACUGCGAGUUCUGUCGACUAUUCAAAACGUGUAUAGCUUCCACCCGCUGCCUUUCGGCUUUUGAGGCGUUGCGGCGAUAUCGAGCUUAGUCCUUGGCCUGGCCUGCGCUGUAUGCAUUUGGGUCGCCGUUUGCUAAAACCACGCCAAACGGUGCUGGCCAUCCGGGGCCGACACAGCCGUCGUGCAGCAGAGGUAGAAGAGCUGUGGUUGUGGACGCGUCUAUGUGUUGGUGUGUUCGUGGUAGAAGGACACACGCUGGCGAAAACAGGAUGUGAACAAGCGUGCUGGCUUUUCGUUUGUGGUUUUUUUGUUCUGUUCCCUCUUACUACUUAGUCUGCGCUCCUUUCGGCUGUGCCUCUUGUCCGACAUCCGGCCCAUUGUUCUCUUCUGCCUCGUUCUUCCUCUCUCGCAGUUUCUCUGCCACGCGACGGCCACUCAAGCAUGUCGACACCACUGCAGAAGAAGUGCGGGAUGUGCUGAAGGAGCACGAAGGAAGUAAACGAAAGGAAGAACGAAGGUGAGCGAGUGGAUGCGUCUGCCGGCGUAAGUGGACGAAGAAGAAGAUCGCCAAAACUCUGCCGCUCCAGGACCGGCGAUAACGUGCAGGACUGGAGAGCGCGGGGCUUUUCGGACACAACACCCGUUAAGGCCCGCUUAUCCUCUUGCACCUUCUUUCCUUUAACGUGUUGGGCGGUGAGGAGCACCUCAUAAUGCCUCACUGUGCCGCAGUCUUUUUAUGGCGGCGACUAUACCCUUCUGAGCGAGAUGUGCUCCGCCUAACGAAAGAAACGAUCCACCAUGGCACGGGGUAAACGGAAUCGCAUCCGCAUCAGACGUGCCUACCCCUGCGUCGUUCGGCGGCCCAACGAACUCGUGUCUUUGUUGUGCUUCACCCACCUCAGUCA
This 5063-nucleotide unclassified non-coding RNA is filed under the name Leishmania donovani. Lineage: Eukaryota; Euglenozoa; Kinetoplastea; Trypanosomatida; Trypanosomatidae. The record is from RNAcentral.